Cricetulus griseus (Chinese hamster) is the source of this 2593-nucleotide non-coding RNA. The record is from RefSeq and is a predicted model, not a curated record. NCBI's taxonomy places the organism in Eukaryota, Metazoa, Chordata, Mammalia, Rodentia, Cricetidae.
GAUGUUGGAAAGAAUGAUUUCACAAGCUUUUCCCCUGUCCACUCCUUGCAGUGUCUUUCUCUUGAGUCUUGGUUCAUUGCUUGGAAUAAUAAGCCUGACUGUAUUAUAUCCAACGGAAACUCCCAUCAGAAGCAGGGGGCCCAACCCAGGUUGUAACAGAAAAACACAGGCUCUGGUUAACAUAGUUUCCGUACAGAGCAUAGAAACAGGUUAAUGCCAGAGCCGGUGGUGGGAGCUGCUUGAGCAUGGCUGGGUGAACCAUGUACCAGGACACUCGUGUGCCCAGACGCUUGUCCCAUGUCUCCUGACUGUUCCUGUGGCCCCUCAGAUAAGGAGGCUGAAGAAUAAUAGCAUUUCCAUCUUAUAACAUGGGGGCACCCAGGCCACCUCCCUGGGUUUGAAUCCAAGCUCCACGACUUGCCUGCGGGGACACUUUUGGGCAAUAUCUGGAGUUUUCUGUGCUUCCAGGGAUCUGAUCUAAAGGGAAAGCAGCACGCAUUCCCUCACAGCUUGAGAUAGGGAUGGACUUGCUUUGAAUUAAUAAAUCUCAGCUGUGAAAAUAGUAAAGCAAGAGAAAAAAAACCCAAAUAAACAAGUAGGUGAAGAAGAAUUUCAAAGGGCUGCUGGUGCCGUCAGGUUCAUGGUAGGGACAGGACGGUAACCUGAACCCAAGACCCUUUGACCACGGCCAUGGGAAUCCACGCUGCCCACACCUCACUGAGGACUGUGAUAUGUAGAAGAAUGAAAUGCAGGACAGCCAGAGAGACCUCAGCAUUGGGGCUGGCUUUCAUAUGACUCAAGUCAGGCUGCUGCGGACAGGACAGGUAAGGCUAGGGAAACAUGGCCAGUGGGAAGCAGCCUGGGUGGUUCUGGAAAUCAAGUCUCGGCAUAGCCCUUUCAUAGUCAGUGAAGGCUCAUCUUUGACCCCUGGAUGUGUCUGCCCUGGCCUCUUGGAACUCCUUUGAUGCUCAUCAGUGCCGUGUUGCGGUUAAAUCAUCCUUAGUCUCCAAAUCUGCACAGUUAAAGAAUCCAUUGUUUAUAAUAUGAUGCUAUUGUUAUUAAUUAUUAUUAUUAUUUACUUAUGACUAGGGGGUUGCUUAUUUGGCUCGGUGUGUUCUGGGGACCACAGCCCGAGUGAUGCUGCCCCUAAUUGGCUGCACACGUGUGGGGAUGGGUUGACUCCCAUCCUGGGGACAGGCUUCUACAGCAGUCAAGCUGACAGUGACCACCAGUCACUGCCAGGCUCCCUGCUUCUCCCACUGCUUAUUUCCAAAGGUUACGCCCCAGUGGGUUUUAGCACAGCUCCGAUGUGUAAUUCUAAUUCCCUUGGAAAUAGGGCUAAUUAGAGCAUUUGUCAUUGCUGGCUGUGAGGAUUAUCAGCCCCGAUGAAGAUUCAUGGCCUGAGCCAUUUUAGCCUCCUAAGGCAGGAUCUAGGCUCUGGAGCUGAGCUGGGAUAUUUGCACAGAGAGGGUAUGGAGUGGGGGAGGGGGCUGAGUGUUCUCGGUUAAAAAUACCUCAGAUAUUUCUUUUUUUCCUUUUUUUUUCUAAAUCUGAAGGAGAGAGGAAAAAAAAAAAACAGUGCAUAUUCUGCUGUAACUUCAGGUUGCCUGGGAUGAAAAAAAAAAGUAAAAAGCAAUAAAGCAUUUGUUUGAAGGGGGAAGUGCUUUCCUUUUCGCACUGUGGGUCAGGCCUGCCACCCUGAUGCUUCUUUGGGAUGGAGAAUGCUUUGAUUUCUUGGGGUCAGCUAGAGGCUGGCAGUUCCUGCUGGGAACACACAUCUGCUUCCCCAGACUGAGAGACACACAGGCUACCUGGAGAGGGACACUGGCUCCGUCUGAUUGAAAUCACCCUUGGAGAAGUUUGUUGUUGAGAUUGGAGCUCAGUGAAGCAGCCAUGGACGUUUGCCACAGAGACACUUUAGCCCAUCAUGUGACAGACUCUGUGCCAGGUACCAGGUGCACCGGUGGCAACCUAAACCCACUGCCGCCAUUGGUACCCUGAAAAUAAAGGCACGCAUCAUUGCAGCAGUCAGCAAGUAAAUGUGGUGUCACCCACAUGAUCAACACUCCAGAGGCUCGGAAGAUGUCAGUCAAUACAGUUCUUGAAAAACCUCAGAGAUAAGAGAUGGGGCGAAGGAUGAGGAGCCUCAGGUCUGUGGGUGGUGAAUGGCAUAGGUUGGAUCUCAGUAUGUCUCGUGAAAAUUCAUUAUGUGAUAUGGAGCCUCUUCUUCAAAAUACCGUAAGCGUGGUCUGGAUUUUUUUCUUAAGCCCUCCAACUGAUAUGGAGCAAGACAGUCAGACACCUUCACCUGAACCAGAUCCGUCUCCCUCAUCCCCAAUGACACCAUGGGUCCUCACCAGUGUGUGUGGAGCAAGGUAAUUUCUUCCUAAGGGCACUUCUAUUGGUAAUUUCAAACUGCAAGAGGACAAGGAGCUCCAAGGAUGGAGACAGUUUGGUCUACCUGGCUGGAAGAGACGUCCCUGCAUCCAAGCAAAGUGAACCCGUGAUGAGGAAAGGAAAAUGGGGAAAAAAAUGAUCACAUGUAUGCAGUAUAAAGUUUGUACAAUAAAAAAAUAAUGUCUUUAUAAAUUUA